RNAcentral lists this transfer RNA (75 nucleotides) under Pyrinomonadaceae bacterium. RNAcentral's name for it is "tRNA-Gly". It matches the Rfam family "tRNA". From Rfam's summary of the family: Transfer RNA (tRNA) molecules are approximately 80 nucleotides in length. Their secondary structure includes four short double-helical elements and three loops (D, anti-codon, and T loops). The record is from RNAcentral. Lineage: Bacteria; Pseudomonadati; Acidobacteriota; Blastocatellia; Blastocatellales; Pyrinomonadaceae.
GCGCGAGUAGCUCAAUGGUAGAGCACCGGCUUCCCAAGCCGGGGGUUGCGGGUUCAAUCCCCGUCUCGCGCUCCA